Molecule: long non-coding RNA, 386 nt
Filed under: Mustela putorius furo (domestic ferret)
Lineage: Eukaryota; Metazoa; Chordata; Mammalia; Carnivora; Mustelidae
Description: lncRNA (ENSMPUG00000024839.1)
Source: RNAcentral
UUAGAAUGGGGUUGAUACUGCUUGUGAUAUUCUCCAUCAUAUUAGUUUCCUAACUUGUCUGGUUUUGUCUCAGAUAGUUUGGUGCCAUGACCCAGGAUCUGAACUUAUCUUCAGAUUUUCAUUUACCCUAGCCAGGUCAUAAGGCCAUUUGGAGCCUUUUGUACUCCAUUUCUCGCUGGAAGUCCAGAGAUCUAAAGUUUCUUUGGAGUUUCCAUCAAGACACAGUUUGCACUGACCAUCACCAUGGCCUCCAGUUUUCAACUGGGCACUUAGAACCUAUUAUGUCUCACUGCUUGCUGCUUGUCAAGUCCAGAGUGAUAGAGUAGCUGUGCCAGUUUGGAUUCCUACCAACAGUGCAUGAAGGUUCACCUUUCUUAGCAUCCUCG